ACUCGCCUGCCCACUUGCCUACGCGGUGCCCGACUUCCGCUGGUGAUAGGAGACCGCCGAGUUCUUGUUGCCGAAGCUGAAACUCCAAUACUUUGGUCACCUGAUGCGAAGAACUGACUCACUGGAAAAGACCCUGAUGCUGAGAAAGAUUGAAGGCGAUCGGGCACCCAGGCCAGUCAUCUGAGUUGGGAGGAGACAAGGGACAAAAGAAAAUCCUUGUUCCGGCCACUGGGUCAGCAUCAUGGACCAUGGACGCCCCUAGAUUCCAGCCCAGGGCCACAGCCAUCAAAUCCAAAGCCUGCAUCCUCCCCGUGGUCCUCACCAGUUUCAUCGUAACUGUCUUCCUGGGCUGAGUCCUUUCCAGGACCAGGUACUGACGGCAGAAUUCGGAGAGCCAAGAAGUCAGAGCCAGGAGUUCUGAGCCUGCCUUCCUGUGAUGGUGACGCAGUAGCUGUGUUGUCUCAUGUGUCCUGUUAUGUCUGGACUCUGGGGUUCUUUCUGUGUUCAGAGAAACAACUUCAGAGUAUUUUCAAUGGAAGAAAGUAUUAUGUGAGUGUCUCUUUUAGUCAUUUUAUUUCCUAAUACUAAUACUUAAGUCAGUACCUUGCUAUUGCAAAAAACAUAAAUUCUUCAGCUUUCUUUUUCUAAUCAAGGAGGGAACUCAGGACAUUUUACCCUUUUUCCACCUACUGGGAUUAAAUAGAACUGAUGAUUCUGCUACAUUCAUUGUGGAAGCAGAGAAUAAAAAACACUCUUAAAGUAACCUGCAGCCUAGCCAUUGAGUUGGCAGCGUGCCAAGAAGCUAUUUUUGUUACUGUCAGUGGAAUCUUGACAGCAACUCAUCUCUUCUACACACGCCUUCCAUUGUAGACCACGUAUGGUCACCUCGGCCAGUCGAAUUAACACUCGGGUGCAUUGGGUGAGAGUGAAUCUUGAUCACUGAAGACAAAGUCCGCCAGGUUAGGAUGGAGAAGGAAGUAGGAAAAAAAAUGCAGGAUGACUGAGAGGAAGAUGGAAAAAGAAGCAAAAGAGGCAGCUGGGAGGCGGGGGUGGGGUGGGGAGAGCUGUUGUUGGAAGGAGGGGAGAAGCCAACAGAACGCUGAGCAUUUUGUUCACAAAAGUUAAGGACUCUUUGAGGGUGGGAUAUUUAAAGUGAAUUUUGCUUUUUAAUGUCACUGCUGGGUUGGUUUGUUGUUUUUUUUUUUUUUUUUUUUUGUGGGUGUUUUUGCUGUUUUUAUUGAGGAAUUACAUUUGAAUACUUGCAAGAUACUUCCUUGGUAUAAUUGUUCUUUGCAUUGUUUUUCAACAGGGCUUCCUCAGUCUCUGACUGAAGACUUUGGGCGGUGGGUGGAGGCAGAGAUAUAGACACACUCCAGGCUAAGAUUUGCCCCUUACUCUUCUAAAACUGCUGGAAGGAAUGUCUCUAGCUCACACCGCAGGCCAUCUUUUGGUGAUACUGCAGCUGAUAGAACCCAGGAAGACUCUGGGCAAUGCCCACUCUCUGUGCCUUAACCUCACUGUCAAAUCUCAGUCCAGACCUGGCCAGCCCUGGUGUCAAGUCCAGGGCUCCGUGGACACAAAGCCUUUCCUCCAGUGUGACAGUGACAGCAACAGGUCAGACCUUUGGGUUUCCUGGGGGAGGAGGUAAACGACACCAAAGCGUGGACUGAAUUGAGCCAGACGCUGGGAGAAGCAGGAAGAGAGCUCAG
Molecule: long non-coding RNA, 1709 nt
Organism: Cervus elaphus (red deer)
Lineage: Eukaryota; Metazoa; Chordata; Mammalia; Artiodactyla; Cervidae
Exons: 6
Source: RefSeq, a predicted model, not a curated record